ACGGGAGGCAGCAGUGGGGAAUAUUGGACAAUGGGGGAAACCCUGAUCCAGCGACGCCGCGUGAGUGAAGAAGUAUUUCGGUAUGUAAAGCUCUAUCAGCAAGGAAGAAAAUGACGGUACUUGACUAAGAAGCUCCGGCUAAAUACGUGCCAGCAGCCGCGGUAAUACGUAUGGAGCAAGCGUUAUCCGGAUUUAUUGGGUUUAAAGGGUGCGUAGGCUGUGGUCCAAGUCAGGGGUGAAAGCCCGGAGCUCAACUCCGGAACUGCCUUUGAUACUGGAUUGCUGGAAUACGGAUGCCGUGGGAGGAAUGAGUAGUGUAGCGGUGAAAUGCAUAGAUAUUGCUCAGAACACCGAUUGCGAAGGCAUCUCACGAAUCCGUCAUUGACGCUGAGGCACGAAAGCGUGGGGAUCAAACAGGAUUAGAUACCCUGGUA
This 434-nucleotide ribosomal RNA is filed under the name uncultured Lachnospiraceae bacterium. RNAcentral's name for it is "partial 16S ribosomal RNA". It matches the Rfam family "Bacterial small subunit ribosomal RNA", at positions 341 to 792 of the family's 1533-position model. Lineage: Bacteria; Bacillati; Bacillota; Clostridia; Lachnospirales; Lachnospiraceae. The record is from RNAcentral.